AUUGCAAUGUGUUCAGUCAUUUUAUCACAAUUAUAUUCUCUCAGUCAUUUCGUGCAUUAAUACUCAAACUCAAACCUAGAUCUCUUAUAGGCCAUCAUAGCUCACGACGCAGAUCUUCAAAGAAAAUGUGAAAACUUCUUCUAUAUAUUAGAAGAACGAUGGGGAACUGCCAUAUCAGCAUUGGCUCGAAAAUAUGCUGAACCUGCGUAUCAGGAAAGGCUUGAAAUGCCUUCAACCGAGGAUGUAAACAAGUUUGACCAGUUUCUCAAGCAAGAAGUACAGCAGGCGCUUCAGG
Eurytemora carolleeae is the source of this 295-nucleotide long non-coding RNA. RefSeq lists it as uncharacterized. The record is from RefSeq and is a predicted model, not a curated record. The transcript is spliced from 3 exons. Lineage: Eukaryota; Metazoa; Arthropoda; Copepoda; Calanoida; Temoridae.